Molecule: ribosomal RNA, 413 nt
Filed under: Tremellales sp.
Lineage: Eukaryota; Fungi; Basidiomycota; Tremellomycetes; Tremellales
Description: partial 28S ribosomal RNA
Rfam family: Eukaryotic large subunit ribosomal RNA
Source: RNAcentral
GGAAGAGCUCAAAUUUGAAAGCUGGCGUCCUACGGGCGUCCGCAUUGUAAUCUAUAGAGGCGUUUUCUGUGCUGGACCGUGUCCAAGUCCCUUGGAACAGGGUAUCAAAGAGGGUGACAAUCCCGUACUUGACACGACAACCAGUGCUCUGUGAUACGCCUUCUACGAGUCGAGUUGUUUGGGAAUGCAGCUCAAAAUGGGUGGUGAAUUCCAUCUAAAGCUAAAUAUUGGCGAGAGACCGAUAGCGAACAAGUACCGUGAGGGAAAGAUGAAAAGCACUUUGGAAAGAGAGUUAAACAGUAUGUGAAAUUGUUGAAAGGGAAACGAUGGAGGUCAGUCGUGUCUGUGGGAUUCAGCCGUGUCUGGCGGUGUACUUCCCACAGACGGGUCAACAUCAGUUUUGGCUGGCGGAU